UUGUACUUGGCACAUGUAAGCUGAGGUCUUUCCAGCUUCUCACUUUGAGUGAGAAAAGGACCAUUCAGUGAAUAGUCCUCUUUAAGAGAAUCCUCAUAAAGUUCCCUUCAGGAUAGCUUCCAGCUAGAUUCCGAGGGCUGACUCCUUUCUAGAUGGCAUACUGGUACUCCUCUCCACUCUGAGAGGUCACACUCUUGAAGCAGCUGCCCUUCUCAGCGGAUGUCCAUUAAUUAGGCACUGCCAGAAGAA
Molecule: non-coding RNA, 249 nt
Organism: Phascolarctos cinereus (koala)
Lineage: Eukaryota; Metazoa; Chordata; Mammalia; Diprotodontia; Phascolarctidae
Source: RefSeq, a predicted model, not a curated record